Molecule: ribosomal RNA, 707 nt
Filed under: uncultured Ceratobasidiaceae
Lineage: Eukaryota; Fungi; Basidiomycota; Agaricomycetes; Cantharellales; Ceratobasidiaceae
Description: eukaryotic LSU rRNA
Rfam family: 5.8S ribosomal RNA (bases 258-411)
Source: RNAcentral
UNAGAGGAAGUAAAAGUCGUAACAAGGUUUCCGUAGGUGAACCUGCGGAAGGAUCAUUAUUGAAUGAACAUAGAGUCGGUUGUAGCUGGCCCCUUUUAACCGGGGGGCAUGUGCACGCCUUCUCUUUUCAUCCAUACACACACCUGUGAACUUGUGAGACGGAUUUCGACCCUCUCCGGGGGGGAAAGGUCCGUCUGCUAUACAUAAACUCCUGAAUAAUAAAUUAGAAUGUAAUCGAUGUAACGCAUCUUUAAACUAAGUUUCAACAACGGAUCUCUUGGCUCUCGCAUCGAUGAAGAACGCAGCGAAAUGCGAUAAGUAAUGUGAAUUGCAGAAUUCAGUGAAUCAUCGAAUCUUUGAACGCACCUUGCGCUCCUUGGUAUUCCUCGGAGCAUGCCUGUUUGAGUAUCAUGAAAUCUUCAAAAUAAAUCUUUUGUUCACUCGAUUGAUUUUAUUUUGGACUUGGAGGCUUGCAGAUUCACGUCUGCUCCUCUUAAAUUUAUUAGCUGGAUCUCGGUGAGCUCGGUUCCACUCGGCGUGAUAAGUAUCACUCGCUGAGGACACUGUAAAAGGUGGCCGGGAUUGCGGAUGAACCGCUUCUAAUAGUCCAUUGACUUGGACAAUAAAUACUUUAUGAUCUGAUCUCAAAUCAGGUAGGACUACCCGCUGAACUUAAGCAUAUCAAUAAGCGGAGGAAAAGAAACUAA